Molecule: long non-coding RNA, 1441 nt
Organism: Cuculus canorus (common cuckoo)
Lineage: Eukaryota; Metazoa; Chordata; Aves; Cuculiformes; Cuculidae
Exons: 3
Source: RefSeq, a predicted model, not a curated record
GUGUUCGUACUUUUUCAUUCUUGAACCAGAGAGGAGACACAAAGCUUCGGGUGACAAAGGAUAAAACAAGCACAAAGCUGGAUAAGAAAAAGAGGAAACAAGGACCAUUAUGGUGAUAUUUCCCCUCUUCUCCACAUUGACAAAUGCCAGUUCAAUCAAAAUUUGGAAAUUUUCCACAUGAAAAACAGGAACAGAAGAGUGCUAACCUAAUCAGCUGUGCUAUCCUUUCAACUAUGACUGUGGGGAAAAAAAUGAACAGGCGGACCACCCUACUUAUGAAAGAAUGAUACCAGAUACAUCACGACCGGCACAGCCAAAGAAGACAUCAAGCUGUGCAGGAUACUGCUCCCCAUUGCUGGGAUAGAUGUUAAUCAUUCAAACAUAGGAACUACCACUGCAGUCUGGUAAGUGUUUCUAAAAACUGUAACAUAAAACUUUACAGAGUUCACAGACAAUUUGUAAUUAAACUUUAAUAAGAGAAGGCAAAAAAAUUGUAAAAUAUUUAGGUUUUGGUUAGGAUUCUAUAUUUAAAACUUUCCCAGUGUAAAAGUAAAAAAAAAAAAAAGAAAUAAAACAAUUUUGAUUGGAAACACUUCUAGUUAAUGAGGCAUAGCAAGAAAAACGUUUUUGUUCACUCUAGAAGAGUUUAUAUGAAAGCACUCAUAGAUGACACCUAUGAACAGAAUAGAAUACACAAUACACAGUAAUACUUCAUAUUGCAUAAAAUUCUUACAUUCCUCAAAUAUUUAAUGUAAAUAAAAAUAGGGUAUUGCACAAAGAUGGUAAAAGAAAGCAAAACCAACAUUAACAGAAAGGAGGAGAUAAAGUCUGGGAAAGCUGCUAGGUUAACAAUGUAUCACUUACUUGUACUAUAUCAUUAAUCACUGCUUGACAGCAGUGCUAAAUCUCAUGUUUAAGAAAUGUCUUUAGCAGGUCACAAGAAGAUUUUGGGGACUGGGCAGAAGAAAUGACCUUAAUACAUAGGUCUAUCUAAAAAAAGUCAACAAAAAGAACCCAAUAAAAAAAUCCAAACUUUGCUCCAGAUAUAGUUCAGUUGCACUACAGUUGGGGUGUUCUAAGGACUUUGCUAAGGAGCAGAAAUGGGUUCUAUAAAAGAACAGGUGACUCUCUACUAUAAUUAAAUUAAAUAUACAUGUUAGUUAGAUACUCAUGAGUAAAAUAUAAAACAGAUACAUUAAAUGGCCAUCAGGCUUUGAAAUAUUUGGGCUUGAUCACAAAGUUUUUCAAACACCAGAAAUCUGCUACCAAUUUGCAAAAUGUGGUAGCCUGCAGUAACUGAAGCAGCUCUUAAACAAACCAACCCCAAACAAACAAAAAAAAAUCCCCAAGGAUACAGCAUUGCUGGUUUCAACCAAGCCUGAUAUCUUAGCAAUUCUGACAUGUAUUUCAGUGAUGUUUCUUUAAAUAUACAAUUUUUGAA